This 279-nucleotide ribosomal RNA is filed under the name uncultured bacterium. Its description in RNAcentral is "partial 16S ribosomal RNA". It matches the Rfam family "Bacterial small subunit ribosomal RNA", at positions 506 to 784 of the family's 1533-position model. The record is from RNAcentral.
UGCCAGCCGCCGCGGUAAUACGUGAGCCCCAAGCGUUAUCCGGAUUUAUUGGGCGUAAAGAGUUCGUAGGUGGUUUUAUUAGUCGUGUGUCAAAUCUUCAGGCUCAACCUGGAGGCUGCGCGCGAAACUGUAAAACUAGAGGAUAGGAGAGGCAGAUGGAAUUGCUGGUGUAGCGGUAAAAUGCGUUAAUAUCAGCAAGAACACCAAAGGCGAAGGCAAUCUGCUGGAAUAUUCCUGACACUGAGGAACGAAAGCGUGGGUAGCGAAUGGGAUUAGAUA